This 1253-nucleotide long non-coding RNA is filed under the name Marmota monax (woodchuck). The record is from RNAcentral. Lineage: Eukaryota; Metazoa; Chordata; Mammalia; Rodentia; Sciuridae.
GCCUGUUAAUGCUUACAGCCACUGAAGGAUGGGUCUACCAUUGAGUGAAGGGGAUCUGGGCAGGGCACCAGGAGCAACUGAUACACCAGUGCAUUCUGUGAUCUACGAUGACCAACACAAACCACAGUCAUAAGGAAAUCAAUGCUCUGUUUUAGGUGUCUAAAACUGAAAUCACCUUACAACAUCUGUUCUGGAGGGAGACCACUCUGAGGAUUUGUGGGCGUUUUCAUCAUGUCAUUUGGGAAACUCAGUGGGCCCCACAUUGAAAUCCUCAAGUGAAAGAACAAAAACGUCAAGCUGACUAGACUUGAAAAGAAUGAAAGUUGGGAUCACAAUGAAAUAAGAGGAUAAGAUUCAACAUUGUUCUUUAGUGUUUGCCAUCAUUAGGAGCCAUGGAAGCCAAGUGAACGAGCUACAAAGGAAGAGGUCAAGUUUGCAAUCCUAACCUGGGUUUGUUUGUUGUGUGGUUAUUGUUCUCACUACAAAAAAAAUUGUGUUUUGUGCUUCUGACCAUGUCAGAUGUAGGUUUUCCCGGGAAUAAUUGUCAUCCUUUCCGCAAGCCGCAGCAAUUCCAAGUUCAGCUUGCUACCCAGCAUUUGGAUAGCACAACCUAAAUGUGGGCUCUUUGUUCACUCAAUGGACCUCAUCCCAAGCAUUCUGUUUUUAUAGUAUCAAAGGAGUUUAAUCUCAAUUUUAGGGUGGUAUCAGUGUUAUGGCAUCUUGAGCGAACCAAACAUGUGUCUUAAGUGCAAGCCAUUGAAAAGAAAUGAAUGUCCAAAGAAAACACAAAUCAUAGCUAGCUUAUGACAAUACUGUGCAACUUUUAUCUGUGAAACAUGGAAUAAGCUAAAGACUUUCUCAGAACUAAAAGCCAUCUGGAUAUCAAAUCCAGAGUAGGCUAAGCAUUUCCUUUCCAUAUAGAUUAUGAAAUUCUCUGUUGGACUUAUGUUCCCUCUACUUUUGUCACUUCUAGUCAUUAUCAGUGGUAUUAACUGGUGACCAUUCAUUUGAAUUGAAAUCCAAGACUUUGGCCAAUGAUUAAAAGUCUACAACUGGUCCUGAAGUAGAAACUGACAAACUAGACAUGAGAGUUAUUUCACCAGCCAAGAGUGUGUGGAAACUUCAUCAUUUCUGAACAGAUCUGCACAUAGAAAAAAAAAAUGGAGCAAUGGUAGAAAUAACAAUUUGGGAACCAAGGUCCUUCCUUUUUAAUUAUACUUCUGCUACAUAAUUCAUACAGUCUUGUGCAGGUC